This 253-nucleotide ribosomal RNA is filed under the name uncultured bacterium. Its description in RNAcentral is "partial 16S ribosomal RNA". It matches the Rfam family "Bacterial small subunit ribosomal RNA", at positions 524 to 776 of the family's 1533-position model. The record is from RNAcentral.
UACGUAGGGGGCUAGCGUUGUCCGGAAUCAUUGGGCGUAAAGAGCGUGUAGGCGGUCCGGUAAGUCCGCUGUGAAAGUCGGGGGCUCAACCCUCGAAUGCCGGUGGAUACUGUCGGGCUAGAGUCCGGUAGGGGAGCAGGGAAUUCCUGGUGUAGCGGUGAAAUGCGCAGAUAUCAGGAGGAACACCGGUGGCGAAGGCGCUGCUCUGGGCCGGUACUGACGCUGUGGAGCGAAAGCGUGGGUAGCAAACAGG